RNAcentral lists this long non-coding RNA (674 nucleotides) under Phoenix dactylifera (date palm). RNAcentral describes it as "long non-coding RNA (PDAC_LNC018138)". Lineage: Eukaryota; Viridiplantae; Streptophyta; Magnoliopsida; Arecales; Arecaceae. The record is from RNAcentral.
AUGGGUACUAAUUUAGCCACCUGAUUGUAAGAGAAUAUCCUGCAGGAUUCAGCAAGCAAUUUGUUUAUGUUUCUGCAGCUACAAGUAAGAUGCAAUUAUAUGGAUGGUGGCCCACUCACUCACCCGAUUUCUGGUAUGUGCAUAAUGAAAGGAAGAGAGCUUGCCAUCCUCUAUAGUGGAGGAAAUUCCAUAAUGAGGAAAUAAACAGGAAAACAUAAUUUUAAGCAUGCUUACCACCAUGUUAACCAUUAUAUUAGAUCGCUCAAUUUUGGAAGGAUAACAUGUGAAAGGAGAAAGGAGAAUCUCAGUACCAGACAAAAGCCAAGCCUUUAUUUGAAGUGACUAUCAGGUUAAAAUUUUUGGCAAUGUAUAGCUAAGAAAAAAAAAGAGUUGACAAAGGUUGUUGAUUUCUGGAGGUUAGAAAAACAUUUGUUCCUAUGUUUUGAUUUUAUUUGGUUCAAAUUGGUAAGUUAUCUUAUUUUGUAGAUAGUUAAGUGUUUUCCAUAUUCAACAAAAGCUUGUACAUGCAAAUGGGAUAUUCCUUGUUUGUGGCUUAUGGAAAGCAUCAUGCUGCUUGGAGAUUGAGGCCUGAAUAUUGUCUCGCAGGUCUAAGGAGCAGAGUUUUUAGUUUUUCAUCCUGCUUAUUAAUUGUCUUGUGAGGGUUUUUGAUGCUU